Zootoca vivipara (common lizard) is the source of this 69-nucleotide non-coding RNA. Lineage: Eukaryota; Metazoa; Chordata; Lepidosauria; Squamata; Lacertidae. The record is from the annotation of a RefSeq genome assembly.
GCCGUAGCUUAGUGGUAGAGCAUCUGCUUUGAAUGCAGAAGGCCCCAGGUUCCAUACCUGGCAUCUCCA